Molecule: ribosomal RNA, 253 nt
Filed under: uncultured bacterium
Lineage: Bacteria
Description: partial 16S ribosomal RNA
Rfam family: Bacterial small subunit ribosomal RNA
Source: RNAcentral
GACGAAGGAUGCAAGCGUUAAUCGGAAUUACUGGGCGUAAAGCGUGCGCAGGCGGUUGUGCAAGACCGAUGUGAAAUCCCCGGGCUUAACCUGGGAAUGGCAUUGGUGACUGCACGGCUAGAGUGUGUCAGAGGGGGGUAGAAUUCCACGUGUAGCAGUGAAAUGCGUAGAGAUGUGGAGGAAUACCGAUGGCGAAGGCAGCCCCCUGGGAUAACACUGACGCUCAUGCACGAAAGCGUGGGGAGCAAACAGG